Molecule: long non-coding RNA, 4482 nt
Filed under: Sus scrofa (pig)
Lineage: Eukaryota; Metazoa; Chordata; Mammalia; Artiodactyla; Suidae
Description: lncRNA (ENSSSCG00065076422.1)
Source: RNAcentral
AUUGGCCUAGGCGAUGGAUGCGAAGUGGGCCAUUAGCCAGGGCCGCACAUUAAGUGCUGAGGAAUGCCAGCACACUAGCUGCUGCUAAUGCUGGCUGCAGUGCCUAAUAAUAGCACAUAGCAUGUUCUGGGUGGUCAGUAAAUCAUUGCCGUUAUAUUGAAAGUAGAUAUAACUCAUUGUUAUUCUAACAAGUAAAGGUGAUACCAACCUUCUGGUUUAAUGGAAAUAGUUUGAAUCUUCAAAAGCACUGUACUUCAGUGGCAGCGUUUAGAGGCCCAGCUUCUUGAACUCGUAUGCUGGUCCUGCCCCCAGAGCUCUUACUUUGGGGGAGUUACUGGUCUCUCUCAAUUUCUUCAGCCUGCCAAAUUGAGAUUAUAACAGUACCUGCUUAGUAGGAUUGUUAUGAGAUUCAGUGAGUUAAUAAUAUUAUGAAUGAGUUAAUACCAGUAAAGUGUUAGAAUGGUAACAUAACUAAGCUCCUGGUAAAUGGUGGCUGCUAUUACUACUACUACCACUACUGUUUUAAAAACACGCUUGUCGGGAGUUACUCUUGUGGCUCAGCAGUAAUGCAUUGAACAAGGCCAGGGAUCAAACCCACAACCUCAUAGUUCCUAGUCGCAUUCAUUAACCACUGCGCCGCGACGGGAACUCCUCUAAUGGUGUUGUUUUAAUUAUUUUUUUUAUCAAGUGGGAGCUGUUCUGUUAUGUACUUGGAUGUAAAACAUAUAUAUACAUAUAUAUUUCAGUGAGUUCUGUAUGUUCAUUUGAAACUUGUCAAGUGCUUAGGUUAUUUUAUAGUUUGUAGUACUUCAAGAGAAAUAUCACAGUGCCUUAUGGAAGCAUCAUGUAACUUAAGAGUAGUUUUAUGAAAUACAUUUUUCAGAGUAAGCAUACUUGACAGUUCCACGUCAGUUUUCCUUUGAACUUCUGCGAACAAAAUAUUUAGCAUAUUGUGUGGUUUAGUCUCCCAAAUGGCCUAUGGGUUAAAUUGCUAAUUAUAGUGUUUAAAUGUAUUGUUUUUUUUCUUUUGUUUAAUAGUCCUGAGUUUACAUCUUUAUAUACACACUUUCCUGAUUAUAUAAUGGGAUCUCUGAUCAUUUGGGCUCUCGGCUUUGCCUCGCUUUAUUACUUAGAAAAAGCUCCCUAAGAAAGUUGAGUUAUAGUUAAGUGAAAAAUUUUUUUCACUUUACCUUGUUUUAGUUAAUACAGUAAAAUAUUCUGUUAUACUGAGCUGUCUCCCACCCUUUAGAAAAUACAUGCCAUGAUUUCUUUGAAAAUUAUACAUUUAUUAUAAAUGUAAAUUUUUUUCUGAUGAACAUGUACUUAUCAGUUUUGAAUGUUUUAGAAUCCAGGUAAAUGAUAAAAUGUCCCCACCCCCUUAUUUUCCACUUAGCAUUUGUUAUUUGAUUGAGAACAUAGUAUAAAGUUGGAUUUUUGGAUAAUAUUUGAAUAUAUUCUGAAAUUAAACUCCAACUAUUUUCUGUCAAGUUUGAAGAUUUGCACUCUCUCAUAAUUAUUUGCUAUGCAUUUGGCAUAAAUUUUUUAACUUCUCCCUGUUUCAUUAUAUCUUUCUCAUCUCAUCAUAUCCCCCCCCAAAAAAAUUAUUUUCUGUAUGUAGGCAGUGCACGGAAGGAUUCAAUAUAAAGCAGAUUACUAAGUUAUUUUCUUUUUUUCUUUCUUUUUAUUUUUUUGCUUUUUAGGGCCACACCCGUGGCAUAAUGAAGUUCCCAGGCUAGGGGUUGAAUCAGAGCUGCAGCCGCUGGCCUACACCACAGCCACAGCAAUGCAGGAUCCGAGCCACAUCUUCGACCUACACCACAUUUCACAGCAACACCAGAUCCUUAACCCACUGAGCAAGGCCAGGGAUCAAACCUUCAUCUUCAUUGAAUGCUCAUCAGAUUCAUUAACUGCUGAGCCACUACAGGAACUCCCUGAGUUAUUUUCAAGUAAGGUGUGGGUAUGAAUGAGAAACAAAGUUUGGGAACUCGGUACUGGCAAAUCCUUCAUUUUCGGGUAACUUUCUAAAUGUGCAGUCAUUCCUUCUGUGAUGUUUAGAGUAAAUGUGAACAAUAUAUAAAAACAUUCUCUUCGCAGUCACAUACCACAGCCUUCCUUUUUAUAGUCGGAAUCAUUAACGCAGUGGUGAUCCUUCCAAGCUCUUAUUUAUUUUUUGUUUUGUUUUGUUUCAUUUUGUUUUGUUGGCCAUGCCUGUAGCACAUAGAAGUUCCCGGGCCAGGGAUCAAACCUGCUCCAUAGCAGUGACCCCAGCCACUGCAGUGGUAAAGCUGGAUCCUUAACCCGCUGCACCACAGGGGAACUCCUUAAAACUAUGUGCCAUCAAAGCUAAGAAAUGCAAUUGAUUAUAUGACACCAGUAGUUUAUGUACUGAGAAAGAAGAAAAAACCUUGGGAAAUGCAGAGAGUACUUUCUCAUCAUUUCAUAUUUUAUUUAUACUUAUCUAAAGAUCUCUUUUUUGAAUUACUCAAUGAAUUUUAUUACAUUUAUAAUUGUACAAUAAUCAUCACAACCAAAUUUGAUAGCAUUUCCAUCCCAAACCCUCAGUGCGUCCCCCCACCCCCUAACCUGUCUCCUUUAGAAACCAUAAGUUUUUCAAAGUCUGUGAGUCAGUAUCUGUUCUGCAAAGAAGUUCAUUGUGUCAUUUUUUUAGAUCACAUGUGAUAGCAUUUGAUGUUGGUGUCUCAUUGUCUGACUGACUUCACUUAGCUUGAUAAUUUCUAGGUCCAUCCAUGUUGCUGCAAAUGCCAUUAUUUCUUUCCUUUUAAUGGCUGAGUAAUAUUCCAUUGUGUAUAUGUACUGUAUCUUUAUCCACUCCUCUGUCGAUGGGUGUUUAGGUUGUUUCCAUGUCUUGGCUAUCAUUUAGAGUGCUUCAGUGAACAGUGGAGUACAUGUGUCUUUUUGAGUCAUGGUUUUCUCCAGAUAGAUGCCCAGGAGUGGGAUUGCUGGAUCAAAUGGUAGUUCUAUGUUUAGUUUUCUGAGGAAUCUCCAUACUGCUUUGCACAGCGGUUGCACCAAUUUACAUUCCCACCAACAGUGUACUAGGGUCCCCUUUUCUCCACACCCUCUCCAGCACUUAUUGUCUGUAGACUUUUUGAUGAUGGCCAUUCUGACUAAAGAUCUCUUUUAAGACAUUUAUUCUGAUCAGUGUUUUAAAGUCAUGAAACAUAUGAAAAGGAAAGUUUCUUCAUCUUUGCACUAACAGUUCUUAGACCUUGGGUAUUCCCCUGAGUUUGUCGUUCGUUGUACUCUCUUUCAUGAGGACUACUUGUGAAUACCACUGUGUACAUGGGACCUCUGUUAUGGUGCCAGUGCUUGUCUAGAUACUCUUGUAACAUUCUCAUCUAACCCUUGCAGCAACCCUUUCGGGUAAGUGUUCAUGCAUUUUACAGUUGAGGAAACUGAAGCUCAGAAAAAUUAAGUUGCUUAAUUUUGAUUACAGAGCAGUUAACGUGAUGGAGGCCCCUGACCUCAGAGCAAGUGCUCUAGGUACCUUAAGUGGUUCUUAUAACCACUAUGGGUCUGAGACAUUUGUGGAGAUUAAAAAAAAUAAAUACAUGGGAGAGAUCUACCCUUAGAUACGCAGUCAAUCUAGAAUGGAACAUCUGUAAUUUUUAAAAGUGUGUGUUUAAAUGUGUGAUUUUUAUUUUCAUACCUUUCAGAACCAGCAUAUCCUAUGCUGCCAGGUAAAUCUUCACUUUGUCCUUUUUAAAAAAAAUUUUUUAAUUGUUUUGGCCGCACCCACAGCAUGUGGAAGUUUCUGGAGCAGGAAUCAAACCUGCAUCAUAGCAGUGACAACACCAGGUCCUUAACCACUAGGCCAUCAGGCAUCUCCUUGCCCUUUCCUCAUUGCUAAGUUUACUGAUAUUCUUUGGCACCUGCCAAUUUUCCUAUUGUUAUAGUUCUAGAAUCAGUAGGGCUUAUAAUUGCGCCUUCACUUUAAGGUGGGAAUUAAAUACGGUGAUACCAAGAAUGUUGCAUAACCAUCGUCUCCAUCUGUAUGUUAAACUGAGAGAUCAUCCCCUGAGCAGCCAUCUACAUUAGAACCCCAGCCAGUCUUAGUAAUUGUCCACCUCGGGAGCUCCCGUCGUGGCUCAGCAGAAAUGAAUCUGACUAGUAUCCAUGAGGACACAGAUUUGAUCCCUGGCUUCGCUCAGAGGGUUAAGGGUCUGGUGUUGCCGUGAGCAGGUUGCAGAUGUGGCUUGAAUCUGGCAUUGCUGUGGCUGUAGUGUAGCCCAGUGGCUACAGCUCCGAUUCAGUCUCUCCCCUGGAAAUUUCCAUAUGCCACGGGUGCAGCCCUAAAAAGAUUUAAAAAAAAAAAAAAAAUUGUCUACAUGGAAACUUUAAAUAUGUUUUAAAAACUGCACAUGUAAUAAGAAUGAUUAUGAACCUAAGGAAAUUUAAACUUUUUAUUUCCACAAAAGUAUUUGAAGUUUUCAUUUCAAACUAAACAGGAUACUGUUUGUU